CGUACUGAGACACGGACCAGACUCCUACGGGAGGCAGCAGUGAGGAAUAUUGGACAAUGGGAGCAAUCCUGAUCCAGCCACGCCGCGUGCAGGAAGACUGCCCUAUGGGUUGUAAACUGCUUUUAUACAGGAAGAAAAAGGUGUACGUGUACACUGUUGACGGUACUGUAAGAAUAAGGAUCGGCUAACUCCGUGCCAGCAGCCGCGGUAAUACGGAGGAUCCAAGCGUUAUCCGGAAUCAUUGGGUUUAAAGGGUCCGUAGGCGGGAUAAUAAGUCAGUGGUGAAAGUCUGCAGCUCAACUGUAGAAUUGCCAUUGAUACUGUUGUUCUUGAGUUAUUGUGAAGUGGUUAGAAUGAGUAGUGUAGCGGUGAAAUGCAUAGAUAUUACUCAGAAUACCGAUUGCGAAGGCAGAUCACUAACAAUACACUGACGCUGAUGGACGAAAGCGUAGGUAGCGAACAGGAUUAGAUACCCUGGUAGUCUACGCCGUAAACGAUGGUUACUAGCUGUUCGGGUUAAUUGAGACCUGAGUGGCUAAGCGAAAGUGAUAAGUAACCCACCUGGGGAGUACGUUCGCAAGAAUGAAACUCAAAGGAAUUGACGG
RNAcentral lists this ribosomal RNA (605 nucleotides) under uncultured Bacteroidota bacterium. Its description in RNAcentral is "bacterial SSU rRNA". It matches the Rfam family "Bacterial small subunit ribosomal RNA", at positions 315 to 916 of the family's 1533-position model. Lineage: Bacteria; Pseudomonadati; Bacteroidota. The record is from RNAcentral.